GGUUUCUGAUAAAAUACUAGUUCUGGUGAUCUCUAAUGUGAGCCAUUUAUACUCCAAGGAAGCUUAAAAAUCCAUUUUGGAAAACAAAUAUUGUCCAGGUGCUAACUAAAAAAAAACUUUCUAAAAGUCCUAUUGUUACUCUGUAGGUACCAGGCAUCUGAGGGAUGCUGAAAAGCAUGAAUGCAUUUUAAGGAAGAAUGACCAAUAGGGAGACGGGAUGUGAAAGCAUGGGCGAGUUGUUCAGUGUGGUUGUCACUAGCUACAAAAUUCAGUUCCUCAAUCACACCACCAGCACCUCCAGCAUUUGGUGCACAUUUGGCCAGCAGGAACUCUCCUGAGCAGUAUAAACACAAGACCUCAAGGUCUUAGAUAGAACAGCACUGUAGAAGCAAUGAUUGAAGCAACAGGAAUUGAGAAGACUUUUUGGGGCCUGGAACUCAUGGUUCUAUCAGGUUGAGAAGACUUUGUGUAAUAAAGACUGCAUUUGAAUAGU
This 493-nucleotide long non-coding RNA is filed under the name Mus musculus (house mouse). Its description in RNAcentral is "long non-coding RNA chr4:123914515-123915008". Lineage: Eukaryota; Metazoa; Chordata; Mammalia; Rodentia; Muridae. The record is from RNAcentral.